Molecule: ribosomal RNA, 326 nt
Filed under: Bifidobacterium longum
Lineage: Bacteria; Bacillati; Actinomycetota; Actinomycetes; Bifidobacteriales; Bifidobacteriaceae
Description: partial 23S ribosomal RNA
Rfam family: Bacterial large subunit ribosomal RNA
Source: RNAcentral
GUUAUGAGAAGAAGAUACUAAGGGCGCACGGCGGAUGCCUUGGCACAGGAAGUCGAAGAAGGACGCGGCAAGCUGCGAUAAGCUCCGGGGAGGCGCAAACGGCCUUCGAUCCGGAGAUCUCCGAAUGGGGGAACCCAGCAGGGGUCAUGCCCUGCUACCCGCGCCUGAAUGAAAUAGGGCGCGAGGAGGCAACCCGGGGAACUGAAACAUCUAAGUACCCGGAGGAAGAGAAAUCAACCGAGAUUGCGGGAGUAGCGGCGAGCGAAACCGCACCAGCCCAAACCCAUGCACGUGCAAGCUUGAGGGCGUUGCUGCAUGAGGGGUUG